Molecule: transfer RNA, 72 nt
Filed under: Camelus bactrianus (Bactrian camel)
Lineage: Eukaryota; Metazoa; Chordata; Mammalia; Artiodactyla; Camelidae
Also listed under: 2 other names
Rfam family: tRNA
About the family: Transfer RNA (tRNA) molecules are approximately 80 nucleotides in length. Their secondary structure includes four short double-helical elements and three loops (D, anti-codon, and T loops).
Source: Rfam by way of RNAcentral
GAGGGUAUAGCUCAGUGGUAGAGUGUGUUCUUAGCAUUCAUGAGGUCCUGGGUUCAAUUCCAGGUACCUCCA